AAGAAGAAGAAGAAGAAGAAGAAGAAGAAGAAGAGGAGGAGGAGGAGGAGGAGGAGGAGGAGGAGGAGGAGGAGAAGAAGAAGAAGAAGAAGAAGAAGAAGAAGAAGAAGAAGAAGAAGAAGAAGAAGAAGAAGAAGAAGAAGAAGAAAGAAGAAAGAAGAGAAGAAAAGAAAACCAGGAGUGCCCCAACACAGGCUGGGAACUUGACAGCAGCCAGUGCUCCACGGGUUUGCUGCCCGUGCCUGAGGAGAAGGAAGCAGUAAGAUCCUGACCCACGCGAGAGCCCCUGUCUGCUCAGCAGCCAUGUGAUCGUGUGCUGUGCCUGUCACUUCUGAGGCUCUGUGGCUAUGAGAAGUCCUUCUGGAGCUCAUUUCCAAGGUGGAAUGCCUUGCCAUGCCUGGGUUAACAAAGCCUACCCCUUACCCCAGCUCACUGAUGGCUGUGUUAUCUACUGGACCGGGGCUCUUUUGUCCAUCAAGGGGGAAAUCUUUUACGAUGAGGAUUGACUGGCAUGAUUCUGUGUGAGCAACAACAAUAAUAAUCAACAGAGAAAACUACAGCCCAGCAUUUGCUUUCUCUGAGGCAAAUCAAUUAGAGUAAGGACACUGGAUCUCCCUGGAUCUCCUCUGCACUCUCAAAUGGCUACUGCAUCCCUCAAGGUUCUGGGAUUGAAGCAACUGUGAACCAAAACCCAAGGAGAGGUGCUUCCCUGGAUGGCAGGCGUCGGCAGUGAUGCAUAUCCUGGGGCCGUGGUCUUACCCCUGGAGUCACCACCAAACCCUACAUCCAACAGCCAUCCAUUGGCAUAAGAAUGAAAACUCAGGUUUUCUAUUUUCUACAGGCAGCCUCUUUCAUUUUAGUAGCCAUGGCCACUGAGUUGGUGAAAAUGCAGGAUGUCCCCAUCGCUGCCACAGCAUGGUGAACAGGCCAUUGCUGUCUGUGAAAGGCGGGUCUGUGUAAGACGGAUGGGACUUAGCUCGGUAUCUCCGUUCUUGUGAAACAGGCCUAGGGCCUUCCUGCCUUUCCAGCUUCUCUUGUCAUCACCUGCUGCACUCAUAGGAGCCCUACAAGCGGUUGCUAGGCAACAAGCCAUCUCAGCAUCCUUCUUGGGUAUUCAGACAUUUAUACCUGGAUCCUCAUCCCCAUGUUGGUCCUCUGGCCAGACCCAUGGCCAGAUGUCCUAAAGGACUUUUAAGAAACACUUAGGUCUUUUCUCCAAGCAGAGCUAACCCUAGAGGCUAACCCCGCCCCUUCAAGUGCUUCAAACGUUCCUGUUUUUAGGUGAAAAUGUGUGUGCUCUGAGUUCAUUCUGGUCAGGAUGGCUAGUGCACAUGUGGGGGAUGGGGCUAUUUCCCUUCUCUUCCUUCUACCUGGCUAGGAGGCACAGGACGCUGGGAAAAGCAGAGUAAGCUGUGUUUUACUGUUGCUGGCUUGGGAGAUGAUGUGGUAUUGGUUGAAUUUUUAAAAUGUGUUCUCAGGUCUCUGGUCAACGGCUUAUUGACAGCA
Molecule: long non-coding RNA, 1506 nt
Filed under: Mus spicilegus (steppe mouse)
Lineage: Eukaryota; Metazoa; Chordata; Mammalia; Rodentia; Muridae
Description: lncRNA (ENSMSIG00000030507.1)
Source: RNAcentral